RNAcentral lists this ribosomal RNA (253 nucleotides) under uncultured bacterium. RNAcentral describes it as "partial 16S ribosomal RNA". It matches the Rfam family "Bacterial small subunit ribosomal RNA", at positions 524 to 776 of the family's 1533-position model. The record is from RNAcentral.
GACGUAGGGCGCGAGCGUUGUCCGGAUUUAUUGGGCGUAAAGAGCUCGUAGGCGGCUUGUCGCGUCGGCUGUGAAAUCGCCCGGCUCAACUGGGCGGGGUCAGCGGAUACGGUCGAGCUUGAGCAAGCUAGGGGGUAAUGGAAUUCCCGGUGUAGCGGUGAAAUGCGCAGAUAUCGGGAGGAACACCUAUGGCGAAGGCAGCUCGCUGGGACGUUACUGACGCUGAGACGCGAAAGCGUGGGGAGCAAACAGG